RNAcentral lists this transfer RNA (362 nucleotides) under uncultured Microcystis sp. Its description in RNAcentral is "partial 16S-23S ribosomal RNA intergenic spacer". The stretch from base 136 to 209 matches the Rfam family "tRNA". Lineage: Bacteria; Bacillati; Cyanobacteriota; Cyanophyceae; Chroococcales; Microcystaceae. The record is from RNAcentral.
AAAGGGAGACCUAAUUCCGGUAGGAGACGAAAAAAAAGUAGUCCCAACCAAGAAUCAAUCCCAAAAGGUCGGAGCGAGGCGAAAUUGGCUUUCAAACUAGGUUCUGGGUUCACACAAGACCUGAAUCAGGAACAAGGGCUAUUAGCUCAGGUGGUUAGAGCGCACCCCUGAUAAGGGUGAGGUCCCUGGUUCGAGUCCAGGAUGGCCCACCUGCACAGGUGGCAAAAACAAGAGAAGCGAGGAAUCAGCACCUUAUCUUGUAUACAUAUAUAAGAGAGAAUGCUGGCUCUGAGUACAGAGUCCAGAGGAACCUUGAAAACUGCAUAGAGCUAGGUGAAAAAGCCAAAAAAGAAGACCGCAAG